RNAcentral lists this unclassified non-coding RNA (49 nucleotides) under Escherichia coli. The record is from RNAcentral. Lineage: Bacteria; Pseudomonadati; Pseudomonadota; Gammaproteobacteria; Enterobacterales; Enterobacteriaceae.
CCCCACUAUCUUUCUUACGAACUUGGCGGAACGACGAAAGAUAGUGGGG